Molecule: transfer RNA, 73 nt
Filed under: Ahrensia sp. R2A130
Lineage: Bacteria; Pseudomonadati; Pseudomonadota; Alphaproteobacteria; Hyphomicrobiales; Ahrensiaceae
Rfam family: tRNA
About the family: Transfer RNA (tRNA) molecules are approximately 80 nucleotides in length.
Source: Rfam by way of RNAcentral
GCCCCUAUAGCUCAGCUGGUAGAGCAACUGAUUUGUAAUCAGUAGGUCACGCGUUCGAAUCGUGUUGGGGGCA